CCUACGGGAGGCAGCAGUGGGGAAUAUUGCACAAUGGGGGAAACCCUGAUGCAGCGACGCCGCGUGAGUGAAGAAGUAUUUCGGUAUGUAAAGCUCUAUCAGCAGGGAAGAAGAAAGACGGUACCUGCCUAAGAAGCACCGUCUAACUACGUGCCAGCCGCCGCGGUAAUACGUAGGGGCCAAGCGUUAUCCGGGUUUACUGGGUGUAAAGGGAGCGUAGACGGGUGUGCAAGUCUGAAGUGAAAGCCCAGGGCUCAAACCUGGGACUGCUUUGGAAACUGUGGAGCUAGAGUGCGGGAGAGGUAAGUGGAAUUCCUGGUGUAGCGGUGAAAUGCGUAGAUAUUAGGAGGAACACCAGUGGCGAAGGCAGCUUACUGGACCGUAACUGACGUUGAGGCUCGAAAGCGUGGGGAGCAAACAGGAUUAGAUACCCGUGUAGUC
This 441-nucleotide ribosomal RNA is filed under the name uncultured bacterium. RNAcentral describes it as "partial 16S ribosomal RNA". It matches the Rfam family "Bacterial small subunit ribosomal RNA", at positions 338 to 795 of the family's 1533-position model. The record is from RNAcentral.